GACGAACGCUGGCGGCGUGCUUAACACAUGCAAGUCGAACGGAAAGGCCCUGCUCUUGUGGGGUGCUCGAGUGGCGAACAGGUGAGUAACACGUGAGUAACAUGCCCUUGUCUUUGGGAUAUCUUCAGGAAACUGGGGCUCAUACCGGAUAGGAGCUCCUGCUGCACGGUGGGGGUUGGUGAGUUCCGGCGGUUGUGGAUUGACUCGCGGGUUAUCCGCUUCUUGGUGAGGUAGUGGCUUUCACAGGUUUUGAAGGGUAGCCGGCCUGGGAGGGUGGCCGGCCACAUGGCUACUGCGAUAGGGACCAGACGGCAACCGGAGGCAGCAGUGGGGAAUAUUGCGCAAUGGGGGGAAGCCUGAUGCGGCAACGCCGCGUGCGGGAUGACGUCCUUCUGGUUGUAAACCGCUUUCGCCUGUGACGAAGCGUGAGUGACGGUAAUGGGUAAAGAAGCACCGGCUAACUACGUG
This 468-nucleotide ribosomal RNA is filed under the name uncultured bacterium. RNAcentral describes it as "partial 16S ribosomal RNA". It matches the Rfam family "Bacterial small subunit ribosomal RNA", at positions 28 to 507 of the family's 1533-position model. The record is from RNAcentral.